Long non-coding RNA from Prionailurus viverrinus (fishing cat), 151 nucleotides. RefSeq lists it as uncharacterized. NCBI's taxonomy places the organism in Eukaryota, Metazoa, Chordata, Mammalia, Carnivora, Felidae. The transcript is spliced from 3 exons. The record is from RefSeq and is a predicted model, not a curated record.
UUGGAGCUGACUUCCCCACUUCCUUUACAAGUGAUUUUAUUAAAGCACCAGGACGGGACCCGUGGGCCAAAAGAGCUGCACUGUGGUUAUGAAGAGUGACUGCUUAUAUACUAUGGAGUUGGGGAAGAUUCCAGGCUGGCCUGAAGGGGGC